This 292-nucleotide ribosomal RNA is filed under the name uncultured bacterium. RNAcentral's name for it is "partial 16S ribosomal RNA". It matches the Rfam family "Bacterial small subunit ribosomal RNA", at positions 505 to 796 of the family's 1533-position model. The record is from RNAcentral.
GUGUCAGCAGCCGCGGUAAUACGGAGGGUGCGAGCGUUGUUCGGAAUUACUGGGCGUAAAGCGCGUGUAGGCGGCCUUCUAAGUCUGGUGUGAAAGCCCGGGGCUCAACCCCGGAAGUGCAUUGGAUACUGGGAGGCUGGAGUACCGGAGAGGAGGGUGGAAUUCCUGGUGUAGCGGUGAAAUGCGUAGAUAUCAGGAGGAACACCGGUGGCGAAGGCGGCCCUCUGGACGGAUACUGACGCUGAGACGCGAAAGCGUGGGGAGCAAACAGGAUUAGAAACCCUAGUAGUCC